Molecule: ribosomal RNA, 506 nt
Filed under: uncultured bacterium
Lineage: Bacteria
Description: partial 16S ribosomal RNA
Rfam family: Bacterial small subunit ribosomal RNA
Source: RNAcentral
GAUGAACGCUAGCUACAGGCUUAACACAUGCAAGUCGAGGGGUAACGAGAGGGAAGCUUGCUCUCCUUGUCGACGACCGGCGCACGGGUGAGUAACGCGUAUCCAACCUGCCCACAACUAGGGAAUAACCUCGCGAAAGUAAGACUAAUACCCUAUAAUUUCCUCAGAUGUCAUCUGACGAGGAAUAAAGAUUUAUCGGUUGUGGAUGGGGAUGCGUCUGAUUAGCUUGUUGGCGGGGUAACGGCCCACCAAGGCAACGAUCAGUAGGGGUUCUGAGAGGAAGGUCCCCCACAUUGGAACUGAGACACGGUCCAAACUCCUACGGGAGGCAGCAGUGAGGAAUAUUGGUCAAUGGGCGGAAGCCUGAACCAGCCAAGUAGCGUGCAGGAUGACGGCCCUAUGGGUUGUAAACUGCUUUUAUACAGGAAUAAAGUUAGCCACGUGUGGUUAUUUGUAGGUACUGUAUGAAUAAGGACCGGCUAAUUCCGUGCCAGCCGCCGCGGUAA